This 1151-nucleotide long non-coding RNA is filed under the name Equus asinus (donkey). RNAcentral's name for it is "lncRNA (ENSEASG00005031861.1)". Lineage: Eukaryota; Metazoa; Chordata; Mammalia; Perissodactyla; Equidae. The record is from RNAcentral.
GGGAGGGCCUGAGGAAGGCGAGGGGUCGAGUGGGGCCUGACGGGAAGGCUGGCCGGCCGGUGUGGCAUGUGGGGCCUUGCCCAGCACAAACGUGCCUUCCUACGCCCGGAGCCCCAGACGCAGAGCCUGAGAGAGGGUGCGAGCAGUUCGUUUGGAGGUGAUCUCGAGAAGUGGGUCAUGGCGGCAGGGGGGAGCGGAAAGUGGUAGGUGUGUUAUCAGCUGGCGGCAACGGGGCUCCUUCCCCGUGAGGCCCCCUGGGAGACAACAUAGAAGGAGCCUUAGGGUGUUCCUGCCUGGGGACGAGGAAGCUGGGUGUCCCCAACUCCCCUGUGACACUGGCCCUCAGCUGGGCCACUCCUAGGGCCCAGAUCUCCCCACAGGGAGGCACAGGUGCUGGCAGGAGGGCGCCAUGGGCCUGGCCGGGAGCGGUGAGCGCCGGGACGCCAACAACGGGCACCAAUAGCAUCCGAGGCAAGGAGGGAGCACGGAGGCCAUCCCGCACGCACCUGUUCACCGAGCAUCCCAGUGUGCCCAUCUCAUCAGGGAGACGGGGAAUGAGAAGAGCACGCGGAGAGAUGGUCAGCAGCGCGGGAUUCGUGCCAGGAAGGGACGGAGGACGGAUAAACAACAUGUGGCGUAUCCACACGACGGGGUUUGAUGCAGCCAUAAAGAGCAAUCGAGCACUGAGUGUUGAAAAUAGUGAGACUGAGCGCAAGACGCCAGAUGCAAAAGGCCACAUAGCGUGUGAUUCCGUUCCUGUGAGGUGUCCCAGGCAGGCAAAUCCGCAGAGACAGGAAGCAGGAGCAUUAUUCACAGUAGCUGAACUGUGGAGGCCAGCCAUGUGUCCGUCAACAGACGGAUGGAUGAAGAAAAUGUGGUCCAUCCACACAAUGGAAUAUUACUCAGGCCCUAAAAAGGAAGGAAGUUCUGACGCGUGCUACAACAUGGAUGACCCUGGAGGACACGCUGAGUGAAAUAAGCCAGCCACCAAAGGACAAAUACUGUAGGACCCCACUUAUAUGGGGUCCCUGGAGCCACCAAAUUCAUAGACAGAAAGUAGAACGGUAGGGGCCAGGGCUGGGGUAGGGGAUUGGGGACUCAGUGUUUAGUGGGGACAGAGUUUCAGUUUGAGAAGAUGGAAAGUUCUGGAA